UGAUGUGAACCUGUCCCAAUCCUUGGGGACAUCUCGUGAGUUUGCAUGUUACGAGUUUGACUUCGAUAACAACCACGAUAGUUGGUACGACUGAGGGUUGAGGUGCUACGCUCAAGAAUGCCUGUGGAGGUGAUCGUGAUGAUGGAGAUGUUUCCAGAAGCUAGCUACCGCUACAUUUGUUAAGGGGCAUGUACCAUAUCGUACUCUCAUAUUCUAGAAUGUAAUAAAUAAAAUUGUAAUGUUAUCGUGGUAUGGAUUUGAUGUUAUGCUGAAAUGAAUUCUGUAUGUGAUAGCUACUGAUCCAGAGACUAUCACAAGGAUAUAAGGAGUAGGAUUCUCCUCAUGGAAAUCCGGUUCGUUUCAGUUGGUACCAGAGCCAUACUUGACUGUAGCAUGUGGCCCUAGACAUGGUCGUUAGCAAUAAGGAUUUCCCUAUGCUCCGUUGCUAUAUAUACUUGAACUAUAUUACAAAAACUCUUCCUCAUUUGAAAACUGCUUACUUACCUAUGCUGACUCAAAUUUUUCUUUCAUGUCACAGGAAGCAAUGGCAGAGGAAAUCGAGAUCUUGCCU
Molecule: long non-coding RNA, 571 nt
Filed under: Setaria viridis
Lineage: Eukaryota; Viridiplantae; Streptophyta; Magnoliopsida; Poales; Poaceae
Description: long non-coding RNA (SVIR_LNC000761)
Source: RNAcentral